GACGAACGCUGGCGGCGUGCCUAACACAUGCAAGUCGAACGAAGCUUGAAGAUUUGAUUCUUUCGGAGUGAAAUACUGAUAUGACUGAGUGGCGGACGGGUGAGUAACGCGUGAGCAACCUGCCCUUCGGAGGGGGAUAGUGUCUGGAAACGACUGCUAAUACCGCAUAAGACCACAGCACCGCAUGGUGCAGGGGUAAAAACUCCGGUGGUAUGAGAUGGAUCCGCGUCUGAUUAGCUAGUUGGUAAGGUAACGGCUUACCAAGGCAACGAUCAGUAGCCGACCUGAGAGGGUGACCGGCCACAUUGGGACUGAGACACGGCCCAA
Molecule: ribosomal RNA, 327 nt
Filed under: uncultured bacterium
Lineage: Bacteria
Description: bacterial SSU rRNA
Rfam family: Bacterial small subunit ribosomal RNA
Source: RNAcentral